AUUAGCCCACAGGUUUCUACAAUUCUAAUAUCUCAUAUUUAAAAUAUUAAGAAAUUAUGAUAGAAGUUGUGUAUGUAUGACAUAGUAAUAAUCUGAUUCAUGUUUGUGCAAAAUAAACAGCUCUAUCUUGACUUUCCCCGCUCUACGGUUUGUGGAAAACAUAAUACAGGUCCAGACCUGUAAGGAGAAUCGGGAUAAAUUUGAGGAAAAGUUGAGGAACACAGAUGCAGAACUGCCGUUGAUGGGAGCCACUCUUCAGAACAUCACGGCCUGUCUGAAAGUAUUUAAUUACCUUCACACAAGUGGACUGUACAACGCCCUCCACCUGCAACAGCUGAACCAGGAACUCACAGAAAUCCAUCAAAUUGUCAAUGAAACACACAUGCAGAACCCCAACAAAGAGACCAGAACCAUACCAAAUGAUUUCCGAAGCACGUGUCAUGAGCGCAUCAUGACCAGAAUAAGUUCAUCAAGUGUCACCAAGCUCAAUUAUAUCAGCAAGUCCUAUAUUUCUGGUGCUUGGGGUCGUGAUGCCCUUCUAACCAACAAGGAAUGUUAUUGGGAACACUGUCUGGUAAGUGGACACAAGCAUGGCAACACAAUCAGGGUGUAACUUCAGCUGGUCGUGUUAAUUUCCCAAAGCAGGUAUAUGAUGAUCAGACACUUUUACUCCUGGCAACCAAGAGAGCAACUCUCAAAAAAUGAAAUUCAUAAAUAACUGUAUAUAAGACAGAGGUACAAAUAAACAUGCAAUUCCCAAAAAUGUGAGAAUUGACAUCAAACAAUUAACAUUUGUCUUUUUCAAGUCUGCAAUAUAAGGUACAAAGCUUAUAAUGAAACCAAUGCAACUUAUAAAAGUUUGUUUUUGUGAAUUGUGG
Molecule: long non-coding RNA, 878 nt
Organism: Megalobrama amblycephala (Wuchang bream)
Lineage: Eukaryota; Metazoa; Chordata; Actinopteri; Cypriniformes; Xenocyprididae
Exons: 3
Source: RefSeq, a predicted model, not a curated record